Molecule: ribosomal RNA, 338 nt
Filed under: uncultured Anoxybacillus sp.
Lineage: Bacteria; Bacillati; Bacillota; Bacilli; Caryophanales; Anoxybacillaceae
Description: bacterial SSU rRNA
Rfam family: Bacterial small subunit ribosomal RNA
Source: RNAcentral
CAUGGUUGUCGUCAGCUCGUGUCGUGAGAUGUUGGGUUAAGUCCCGCAACGAGCGCAACCCUCGACCUUAGCUGCCAGCAUUCAGUUGGGCACUCUAAGGUGACUGCCGGCUAAAAGUCGGAGGAAGGUGGGGAUGACGUCAAAUCAUCAUGCCCCUUAUGACCUGGGCUACACACGUGCUACAAUGGGCGGUACAAAGGGUCGCGAACCCGCGAGGGGGAGCCAAUCCCAAAAAAGCCGCUCUCAGUUCGGAUUGCAGGCUGCAACUCGCCUGCAUGAAGCCGGAAUCGCUAGUAAUCGCGGAUCAGCAUGCCGCGGUGAAUACGUUCCCGGGCCUU